Molecule: ribosomal RNA, 253 nt
Filed under: uncultured bacterium
Lineage: Bacteria
Description: partial 16S ribosomal RNA
Rfam family: Bacterial small subunit ribosomal RNA
Source: RNAcentral
UACGUAGGUGGCGAGCGUUGUCCGGAUUUACUGGGCGUAAAGGGAGCGUAGGCGGGCUUUUAAGUGAGAUGUGAAAUACUCGGGCUCAACUUGAGUGCUGCAUUUCAAACUGGAAGUCUACAGUGCAGGAGAGGAGAAUGGAAUUCCUAGUGUAGCGGUGAAAUGCGUAGAGAUUAGGAAGAACACCAGUGGCGAAGGCGAUUCUCUGGACUGUAACUGACGCUGAGGCUCGAAAGCGUGGGGAGCAAACAGG